UACGUAGGGUGCGAGCGUUGUCCGGAAUUAUUGGGCGUAAAGAGCUUGUAGGCGGUUUGUUGCGUCUGCCGUGAAAAUUCGAGGCUCAACCUCGAACUUGCGGUGGGUACGGGCAGACUAGAGUGUGGUAGGGGAGACUGGAAUUCCUGGUGUAGCGGUGAAAUGCGCAGAUAUCAGGAGGAACACCGAUGGCGAAGGCAGGUCUCUGGGCCACUACUGACGCUGAGAAGCGAAAGCAUGGGGAGCGAACGGG
RNAcentral lists this ribosomal RNA (253 nucleotides) under uncultured bacterium. RNAcentral describes it as "partial 16S ribosomal RNA". It matches the Rfam family "Bacterial small subunit ribosomal RNA", at positions 524 to 776 of the family's 1533-position model. The record is from RNAcentral.